Molecule: ribosomal RNA, 386 nt
Filed under: Picochlorum sp.
Lineage: Eukaryota; Viridiplantae; Chlorophyta; Trebouxiophyceae
Description: partial small subunit ribosomal RNA
Rfam family: Eukaryotic small subunit ribosomal RNA
Source: RNAcentral
AUUCCAGCUCCAAUAGCGUAUAUUUAAGUUGCUGCAGUUAAAAAGCUCGUAGUUGGAUUUCGGGUGGGAAUGGCCGGUCCGCCGUUUCGGUGUGCACUUGCUAGUCCCACCUUGCUGCCGGGGACGUGCUCUUGGGUUUCGGCUCGGGACACGGAGUCGGCGAGGUUACUUUGAGUAAAUUAGAGUGUUCAAAGCAGGCCUACGCUCUGAAUACAUUAGCAUGGAAUAACACGAUAGGACUCUGGCCUAUCUUGUUGGUCUGUAGGACCGGAGUAAUGAUUAAUAGGGACAGUCGGGGGCAUUUGUAUUCAAACGACAGGGGUGAAAUUCUUGGACCGUUUGAAGACAAACUACUGCGAAAGCAUUUGCCAAGAAUGUUUUCAUCA